UGGGGCGUGGCCAAGCUGGUAAGGCGCCUGACUCUGGAUCAGGUAAUCCUAGGUUCGAAUCCUAGCGCCCCAGCCA
Molecule: transfer RNA, 76 nt
Filed under: Chloroflexota bacterium
Lineage: Bacteria; Bacillati; Chloroflexota
Also listed under: 7 other names
Description: Chloroflexi bacterium tRNA-Gln
Rfam family: tRNA
About the family: Transfer RNA (tRNA) molecules are approximately 80 nucleotides in length. Their secondary structure includes four short double-helical elements and three loops (D, anti-codon, and T loops). Further hydrogen bonds mediate the characteristic L-shaped molecular structure. tRNAs have two regions of fundamental functional importance: the anti-codon, which is responsible for specific mRNA codon recognition, and the 3' end, to which the tRNAs corresponding amino acid is attached (by aminoacyl-tRNA synthetases). tRNAs cope with the degeneracy of the genetic code in two manners: having more than one tRNA (with a specific anti-codon) for a particular amino acid; and 'wobble' base-pairing, i.e. permitting non-standard base-pairing at the 3rd anti-codon position.
Source: RNAcentral